RNAcentral lists this ribosomal RNA (865 nucleotides) under Rickenella minuta. RNAcentral's name for it is "LSU rRNA". It matches the Rfam family "Eukaryotic large subunit ribosomal RNA", at positions 79 to 928 of the family's 3401-position model. The record is from RNAcentral. Lineage: Eukaryota; Fungi; Basidiomycota; Agaricomycetes; Hymenochaetales; Rickenellaceae.
CCUAGUAACUGCGAGUGAAGCGGGAAAAGCUCAAAUUUAAAAUCUGGCGGUUCUGCCGUCCGAGUUGUAAUCUGGAGAAGUGUUUUCCGUGCUGGACCGUGUACAAGUCUCUUGGAACAGAGCGUCAUAGAGGGUGAGAAUCCCGUCUUUGACACGGACUACCAGUGCUUCUGUGAUACACUCUCAAAGAGUCGAGUUGUUUGGGAAUGCAGCUCAAAAUGGGUGGUAAAUGCCAUCUAAAGCUAAAUAUUGGCGAGAGACCGAUAGCGAACAAGUACCGUGAGGGAAAGAUGAAAAGCACUUUGGAAAGAGAGUUAAACAGUACGUGAAAUUGUUGAAAGGGAAACGCUUGAAGUCAGUCGCGUUGCUUAGGAUUCAGCCUUGCUUUUUUGCUUGGUGUACUUCCUGGGUGACGGGCCAACAUCGAUUUUGACCGGUGGAUAAAGUCGAGGGGAAUGUGGCUCCUUUGGGAGUGUUAUAGCCCUUUGUCGCAUGCAUCGGUUGGGAUCGAGGACCGCAGCACGCCUUUUUGGCCGGGGUUCGCCCACGUAACGUGCUUAGGAUGUUGGCAUAAUGGCUUUAAUCGACCCGUCUUGAAACACGGACCAAGGAGUCUAACAUGCCCGCGAGUGUUAGGGUGGAAAACCCUUGCGCGUAAUUAAAGUGAAAGUUGGGACCCUUGUCAUGGGGGGCACCGACGCCCGGCCUUGAACUUCUGUGACGGCGCCGCGGUAGAGCGUGUAUGUUGGGACCCGAAAGAUGGUGAACUAUGCCUGAAUAGGGCGAAGCCAGAGGAAACUCUGGUGGAGGCUCGUAGCGAUUCUGACGUGCAAAUCGAUCGUCAAAUUUGGGUAUAGGGGCGAAA